AUUGAACGCUGGCGGCAUGCCUUACACAUGCAAGUCGAACGGUAACAGGUCUUCGGAUGCUGACGAGUGGCGAACGGGUGAGUAGUACAUCGGAACGUGCCCGAUCGUGGGGGAUAACGAGGCGAAAGCUUUGCUAAUACCGCAUACGAUCUACGGAUGAAAGCGGGGGAUCUUCGGACCUCGCGCGGACGGAGCGGCCGAUGGCAGAUUAGGUAGUUGGUGGGAUAAAAGCUUACCAAGCCGACGAUCUGUAGCUGGUCUGAGAGGAUGAUCAGCCACACUGGGACUGAGACACGGCCCAGACUCCUACGGGAGGCAGCAGUGGGGAAUUUUGGACAAUGGGCAAAAGCCUGAUCCAGCCAUGCCGCGUGCAGGAUGAAGGCCUUCGGGUUGUAAACUGCUUUUGUACGGAACGAAAAGCCUCUUUCUAAUAAAGAGGGGUCAUGACGGUACCGUAAGAAUAAGCACCGGCUAACUACGUG
RNAcentral lists this ribosomal RNA (482 nucleotides) under uncultured bacterium. RNAcentral's name for it is "partial 16S ribosomal RNA". It matches the Rfam family "Bacterial small subunit ribosomal RNA", at positions 30 to 507 of the family's 1533-position model. The record is from RNAcentral.